Molecule: long non-coding RNA, 252 nt
Filed under: Manihot esculenta (cassava)
Lineage: Eukaryota; Viridiplantae; Streptophyta; Magnoliopsida; Malpighiales; Euphorbiaceae
Description: long non-coding RNA (MESC_LNC011851)
Source: RNAcentral
UGGAUGGAUGUUGGAUGACCCACUAGCCCUCGGUAUGUAACAUAUGAAAGUCCAGGGCUGCCCAUGCCAUGCGUCCUGGCACCAUGUAUGAAAGUCCCGGGCUGCCCAUGCCACGCGUCCGGGCAAUUGUGUGUGAUUAUGAGGAAGGAGGGUUAUUGGUGACAAGUCCAUCCUUGAUGUGAAAUGUCUGUGCUAUGAUGCAUUACAUGAAAGCAUGAAUUAUUAAAAUGUAUUAUGGUUCUGCUCACUGGG